AGGUUAAUCUGUCUCUAUUUUAUUUUUUAGAAAUUAAUUUUUAGAGUGAAAAAGCUUGUAUUUUUUAAAGGGACGAGAAGACCCUAUUGAGCUUGUAAUUUUAUUACUAUUGUUAAUAUUAUUUGAGUGGCAUAUAAAUUUUAAUUGGGGUGAUUAAGGAAUAAAAUGAUUUUUAGUAACUUCCUUAUACUUAAUAUUGUUAGAUAAAGUAACCAAUAUAUUAUUGCUUAUAUUAUAGUUACCAUAGGGAUAACAGCGUAAUUUGUUUAGAGAGUUCUUAUUGAAAAACAAGAUUGCGACCUCGAUGUUGGAUUAAAGUAACCUUAAGGUGCACAAGCUU
Molecule: ribosomal RNA, 340 nt
Filed under: Histioteuthidae environmental sample cf. Stigmatoteuthis hoylei
Lineage: Eukaryota; Metazoa; Mollusca; Cephalopoda; Oegopsida; Histioteuthidae
Description: partial 16S ribosomal RNA
Source: RNAcentral